UUUUUGAUAUUUACUUUAGUUUUUUGGGUGAAAUUAAUGAACUUGGCUAUUGGUAUUUAAGAUUUUAAAAUUUAGUGAACAAGCCAGAUUAGUACCUGGUUAGAUAAAAAUUAAAAGUGCAGAAGUAAAGUUAUAUUUAAACUGUAAGAAUAUUGGCAGGUUAUUAAAUUAUCUUUGGAGGCUGAGUAGUAAUUGAGAGCCCUCAUUUACAACUUUUAUUUUUGACGCAUGUAUGAUCGUUUAUUUUAUUCUUAAGGAUUGUAAUUUUAGUUUGUUUCUGAAAAAAUAGAUAUAUACUUGGUUUAUGUGAAAGAUUUAGUUUGGCCUACAAUAUUUUAAUAUUUGGAUAAUACUAGUAGUAGGUAUUUGAAAUUGUAAAAGACAGUAAGUUUUUUUUAAUGUAAAACUGAAGUUUAUUUAAUAACGGUACAAAUCAUCCAUCAAUUGCCUAGAGGGGAGUAAGUUG
RNAcentral lists this non-coding RNA (466 nucleotides) under Contracaecum sp. 2 CJK-2020. Lineage: Eukaryota; Metazoa; Nematoda; Chromadorea; Rhabditida; Anisakidae. The record is from RNAcentral.